GAAAUGCGAUAAGUAAUGUGAAUUGCAGAAUUCCGUGAAUCAUCAAAUCUUUGAACGCACAUUGCGCUUUCUGGUAUUCCGGAGAGCAUAUCUGUUUGAGAAUCAGUUUAAACCUCAAAAAAUUUAUUUUUUGGAUUUGAAAGUUUUAAAGAUAAUUUUAUUAUUUUUAAACUUUUUAAAUUAAACUUGGUGAUGGUUCUUUUUAUUUAAAAGACUAUUUUAAACUUUUUAAACCGAAAGCGUGAUUUACUGGAGUUUAUUUUUAAACUCUUUUGAUUAUCUAGCUGAUAAAGUUUAAAAGGAAAUAAUCUUUAAAUGAUUGAAUAAUUUAAACAACAUCAAUAUAAAACUCAAUACAAAGAUUUUUUUUUAACAAAAAAAUCUUUAAGACUUGAUCUCA
This 400-nucleotide unclassified non-coding RNA is filed under the name uncultured Chytridiomycota. Its description in RNAcentral is "sequence contains ITS1". The stretch from base 1 to 105 matches the Rfam family "5.8S ribosomal RNA", at positions 50 to 154 of the family's 154-position model. The record is from RNAcentral. Lineage: Eukaryota; Fungi; Chytridiomycota.